AAGCCUCCAAAGAAGGAGCUUCCACCACACUCCAAGGCAGAGAAUUACACUGCUGAACAGCUCUUACAGUCAGGAAGGUCUUCCUUAUGUUCAGGUGGAAUCAGAGGCGGUUCAACCACCAGGCCAACUAGGCAGUUGCCUGUGGCGCCAUCGAGGCAACUCCUGUCUCCUGCGGCCUGCCUCCGCAAGAGAAAUCUAAUGAAGCCAGAAACAACCCUGAGGUUGAAGACGCCACACAUACGGAUGCUGAUAUUUGAGAGAAACUGGGUUUGGGCAGGCAGGGAGUGCUCCAUGGGGAAUAAAGCCAUUUAUACACAAGAGAGCAAGCAAUCAUUUCCUUGCAUGAUAUCUCUAAUGCCUGUCUGGAGUAGAACCUAGAUAUCUGGUGUUUGCCCCUGCCCCUCACUUAUUGAGACAUGACAAGAAAACGAAUGAAUAAGAAAGGAAAUAAGAGAAAUGUACCCAGCUGAGUGAAUAAAAGAAGAGACCAAAAUGAAGGAUCACUUGACAGGAAAACCCUAUUUGCUGCUGGCAGAAGCCCACAAUUCACUUCUUUAUCCAGAUGCUUCAUUUUUAAAAAUCUUAAGUUCGGUGGUAAACAAAGUACUUCUUUAUUUUUAGACUGCCUUUGACUCUAUGCCAUAAAAUCUUUUCUUUUUAAAAUGUUUCUCACAAGACACUUGCCUAAGA
RNAcentral lists this long non-coding RNA (690 nucleotides) under Anolis carolinensis (green anole). Its description in RNAcentral is "lncRNA (ENSACAG00000044818.1)". Lineage: Eukaryota; Metazoa; Chordata; Lepidosauria; Squamata; Anolidae. The record is from RNAcentral.